UUUUAUUCUUUUCAGGGGGAGUCAAGUAGCAACACAACGGAUUUGUUGUGCCGUUAACUGAACAAACCCGAAAAAGAAUGGAUGGAAAUUGUAUAGUAUCCGAUUGCUAAAGAAGAUUAUGGCUACAGGAAAACUUUAAGUUCCUUAACCCCAACCCAUUUGUGGAGGAGGACAUUGACAAGAAUGAGGUUGCAUCUGUGGCCUACAGGUAUGCUCCAAACCAUGAGACGUUUAUCCUCAAUGAGGGAAUUGAGCUGUUGACACAAAUUUCCAGACGGUAGAAUGUUGGUAGGUAAGAAAAGCAGAGCCCCCUUGUAUUAGAAAAUGUUUAAUUUUCACAACUUUUUAAAAAUGGCAUUCCUAAAUGAUUAUUUGCAACAGCAAAUUAUUUCACUACAUGCAGGCAACUUCAUGCAGGCCUGUGACUCUUUGGCGCCACCCAGGGGAGGCGGGCCUCACCUAUUGAAAACUUGUUCUAAAAACAAAUAACAAAUCUUCAUAAUUUUGUCCUUAUGGUUGACAUAUACUGUGAAAGGACAACACAACAAAAAGGCAACACAUUGGCACACUGUGUUUUAUGGUUCUACUUUAUUGCACAGAAUCAAAUAUUAACAAUAAAUCUGGAAUUUUACAACAGG
This is a long non-coding RNA of Cynoglossus semilaevis (tongue sole), 638 nucleotides long. RefSeq lists it as uncharacterized. The record is from RefSeq and is a predicted model, not a curated record. The transcript has 2 exons. Lineage: Eukaryota; Metazoa; Chordata; Actinopteri; Pleuronectiformes; Cynoglossidae.